RNAcentral lists this transfer RNA (62 nucleotides) under Eisenia nordenskioldi nordenskioldi. RNAcentral describes it as "tRNA-Phe". Lineage: Eukaryota; Metazoa; Annelida; Clitellata; Crassiclitellata; Lumbricidae. The record is from RNAcentral.
GUUUAGAUAGCUUAAAUAAAGCAUGUUAUUGAAGCUAACAAUAUGGAUUUCCUCUAAACAAU